Molecule: ribosomal RNA, 404 nt
Filed under: uncultured bacterium
Lineage: Bacteria
Description: bacterial SSU rRNA
Rfam family: Bacterial small subunit ribosomal RNA
Source: RNAcentral
UAAGGGAUAUUGCACAAUGGGCGCAAGCCUGAUGCAGCAACGCCGCGUGCGCGAGGAAGGCCUUCGGGUCGUAAAGCGCUUUUCGGGCUGACGAUAAUGACGGUAAGCCCGGAAUAAGUGUCGGCUAACUACGUGCCAGCAGCCGCGGUAAAACGUAGGACGCAAGCGUUAUCCGGAGUUACUGGGCGUAAAGCGCGGGCAGGCGGCCCGCCAAGUGGGACGUGAAAGCGCCCGGCUCAACCGGGCGAGGCCGUUCCAGACUGGCGGGCUGGAGAGCAGCAGAGGUGGGUGGAAUUCCGGGUGGAGUGGUGAAAUGCGUAGAGAUCCGGAGGAACACCAGAGGCGAAGGCGGCCCACUGGGCUGCGACUGACGCUCAACCGCGACAGCCAGGGGAGCGAACGGG